AGCAGCCGCGGUAAUUCCAGCUCCAAUAGCGUAUAUUAAAGUUGUUGCAGUUAAAAAGCUCGUAGUUGAAUUUCGGGGUUAGUAGGUUGGUCAUGCCUCUGGUAUGUACUGGUCUCACUGAUUCCUCCUUCCUGAUGAACCUUAAUGCCAUUAAUUUGGUGUUUUGGGGAAUUUGGACUGUUACUUUGAAAAAAUUAGAGUGUUUAAAGCAAGCUAACGCUUGAAUACAUUAGCAUGGAAUAAUGAAAUAGGACGUUCGAUCCUAUUUUGUUGGUUUCUAGGAUUGACGUAAUGAUUAAUAGGGAUAGUUGGGGGCAUUAGUAUUCAAUUGUCAGAGGUGAAAUUCUUGGAUUUAUUGAAGACUAACUACUGCGAAAGCAUUUGCCAAGGAUGUUUUCAUUAAUCAAGAACGAAAGUUAGGGGAUCGAAGACGAUCAGAUACCGUCGUAGUCUUAACCAUAAACUACGCCGACUAGGGAUCGGAUGAUGUUAAUUUUUUAAUGACUCA
This 508-nucleotide ribosomal RNA is filed under the name uncultured Glomus. RNAcentral describes it as "SSU rRNA". It matches the Rfam family "Eukaryotic small subunit ribosomal RNA", at positions 569 to 1078 of the family's 1831-position model. Lineage: Eukaryota; Fungi; Glomeromycota; Glomeromycetes; Glomerales; Glomeraceae. The record is from RNAcentral.